UAAUUCAUCUAGAAUUCUCUACAGCUUAGUCCUCCAACUAGCUUUCUUUCACCAUUAAUUUGUUCAAUCAUCUGUGAAUCUGCUAUUACUGGCGAGUUCUAGCAGAAUUCUUCUACCAUUACUCCAUUAUUAUUGACCUUUCUCUCCAAUUUUUCCUGAUCCUUCGUAUUCUAUUUAGGGAUUUCCUAUUGCCUUUGAUUUGUUUGGUCCUAUCGUCUUCUAAUCUUUGCUUUGGCAUAAUAGUAUCCCAAUGGUUAGCAUCUUCCAUAGUUGAAACAAAAGGUGAAUAGACGAGGUACAAUUUUCUAUGAUUCCUUGUAAGUUUAAUUUUGUCAAAAUUUUCCACUAUUUAUGCUUAGACUCAUAGGAAGGGAAUUGUUCAAGAAUUUUGGACUACUUUUUUUACAUCAAGGAAAUGAUCCUUGAGAUUCGACUCAAUGUGCUAGAAUUGAUAAGGCAUUGUGCUCUUGACAUAGGUGGUUUAACGAAUUACGAAGCAAUCAGCUUUCGAAUACAACUAUGUGUUUUACAAUUUGGGAUAAAAUAGCGCGCUACUGCUUGAUUAGUAUCUGUGUUUCUCUUUUGAUUUUCUUCCGAACCUCCCGUUGAAUGAGGUUUAAAGUUGAUCCAUGCUCCGAAUGGCAGUUUCUUAUUUUUACUUCCUUUAUUUUAUUAUUUUAACUACGAAAAUGUUUUUAGAUGUUGCAUAAUGUGCUUAAUUGGUUUUCAAUGUGUAACCACUACAGAGUAUGGGACUUUUAAGAUCAUAAACACGAUAAGUUUGUGAUUAGUUCUUGAAUCUUUAUAGUUUAACCGAAAAAGAUGGAGGAGAAAGCAUUAUUCCCAUCAACUUGUACGUUUGAUGUACUAACAUACAUUAGCUAUUAUCGGCAAAAGCACAUGAAGAGGGUAUGAAAAAGGUUGCGAGCUUGCAAACGUGCACGAUAUGAUUGUUUUGUGUAAAACUUCAUUGUGGCUAACGAAAGUAUAUAAGCUUAAAAGGCAUCGACUUUUUGGUAUAUAUAGAAGGAAAAUUGAUAGAACAUCAUGAGUGUAGAACUCUGUUAGGUUUCAUGAUUUUAAUAUUUUGUUUCCUAUUUUGUAUAUUUCAGGAUUUUAAUGUUCCGUUUCAAGGACCCAAUUGAUACUUAGCUUUCAAAUAUCACACCCAUCUUGGAGGUGCGAAAUAAAUAAAAAAAAAAAAUUGCUAAGGAGAUGCUUGGAGAGGAUGAAAAAAAACUACAUUAGUUUCAAUUUACAUGUCCUGGUGGCACUAAAGAGGUAGUUGCAGAUGAUGAAAGGAAAGCUGCUAAGAUGUCAUUCCACAUUUUCUGGUUGUUUUAAAAAUAUGUUUUCACUUUCAAUGCAUCACCAUCUACUUAUCUGAAAGUUGUUUAUGCAUUAUAUUUUUCCUUUUUGGAUCAAUUUGGGAGUAGAAAGUAUGAAAAAUAAAAAGUUGAAAGAUCUGGGUACUUCAAGAAAUGCAAAUAAUCAUAGUUUAUAGUUAGAACCUGA
Molecule: long non-coding RNA, 1515 nt
Filed under: Nicotiana benthamiana
Lineage: Eukaryota; Viridiplantae; Streptophyta; Magnoliopsida; Solanales; Solanaceae
Description: long non-coding RNA (NBEN_LNC009364)
Source: RNAcentral